RNAcentral lists this ribosomal RNA (293 nucleotides) under uncultured eukaryote. RNAcentral's name for it is "partial 18S ribosomal RNA". It matches the Rfam family "Bacterial small subunit ribosomal RNA", at positions 902 to 1196 of the family's 1533-position model. The record is from RNAcentral.
CAAAGGAAUAGACGGGGGCCCGCACAAGCAGUGGAGUAUGUGGUUUAAUUCGAAGCAACGCGAAGAACCUUACCAGGGCUUGACAUACCGAUGACCGGGUUAGAGAUAACCCUUCCCUUCGGGGCAUCGGAUACAGGUGGUGCAUGGUUGUCGUCAGCUCGUGUCGUGAGAUGUUGGGUUAAGUCCCGCAACGAGCGCAACCCCUGUUGUUAGUUGCCAUCAUUAAGUUGGGCACUCUAACAAGACUGCCGGUGACAAAUCGGAGGAAGGUGGGGAUGACGUCAAAUCAUCAU